AUUGAACGCUGGCGAAAUGCUUUACACAUGCAAGUCGAACGGCAGCACGGGGGCAACCCUGGUGGCGAGUGGCGAACGGGUGAGUAAUACAUCGGAACGUGCCCAGUCGUCGGGGAUCACGUAGCGAAAGUUACGCUAAUACCGCAUACGAUCUCAGGAUGAAAGCGGGGGACCGUAAGGCCUCGCGCGAUUGGAGCGGCUGAUGUCAGAUCAGGUAGUUGGUGAGGUAAAGGCUCACCAAGCCUGCGAUCUGUAGCUGGUCUGAGAGGACGACCAGCCACACUGGGACUGAGACACGGCCCAGACUCCUACGGGAGGCAGCAGUGGGGAAUUUUGGACAAUGGGCGCAAGCCUGAUCCAGCCAUUCCGCGUGCAGGACGAAGGCCUUCGGGUUGUAAACUGCUUUUGUACGGAACGAAAAGCCUUGGGCUAAUACCCCGAGGUCAUGACGGUACCGUAAGAAUAAGCACCGGCUAACUACGUGCCAGCAGCCGCGGUAA
RNAcentral lists this ribosomal RNA (500 nucleotides) under uncultured bacterium. RNAcentral describes it as "partial 16S ribosomal RNA". It matches the Rfam family "Bacterial small subunit ribosomal RNA", at positions 30 to 523 of the family's 1533-position model. The record is from RNAcentral.